AAGAGACAGCAGCAGCCGCGGGAAUACGGAGGGAGCUAGCGUUGUUCGGAAUUACUGGGCGUAAAGCGCGCGUAGGCGGUUACUCAAGUCAGAGGUGAAAGCCCGGGGCUCAACCCCGGAACUGCCUUUGAAACUAGGUGACUAGAAUCUUGGAGAGGUCAGUGGAAUUCCGAGUGUAGAGGUGAAAUUCGUAGAUAUUCGGAUGAACACCAGUGGCGAAGGCGACUGACUGGACAAGUAUUGACGCUGAGGUGCGAAAGCGUGGGGAGCAAACAGGAUUAGAUACCCCUGUAGUCCCUGUCUCUUAUAC
RNAcentral lists this ribosomal RNA (310 nucleotides) under uncultured bacterium. RNAcentral's name for it is "partial 16S ribosomal RNA". It matches the Rfam family "Bacterial small subunit ribosomal RNA", at positions 503 to 807 of the family's 1533-position model. The record is from RNAcentral.